Molecule: ribosomal RNA, 256 nt
Filed under: uncultured bacterium
Lineage: Bacteria
Description: partial 16S ribosomal RNA
Rfam family: Bacterial small subunit ribosomal RNA
Source: RNAcentral
UACGGAGGAUCCAAGCGUUAUCCGGAAUUACUGGGCGUAAAGAGUUGCGUAGGUGGCUUGGCAAGCAAGCAAUUAAAGCGUGUGGCUUAACCAUACAUGAAAUUGUUUGAACUGCCUGAGCUUGAGAACGAGAGAGGUAGCUGGAAUUCCCAGUGUAGGAGUAAAAUCCGUAGAUAUUGGGAGGAACACCGAUGGCGUAGGCAGGCUACUGGCUCGUUUCUGACACUAAGGCACGAAAGCGUGGGGAGCGAACCGG